RNAcentral lists this ribosomal RNA (412 nucleotides) under uncultured bacterium. RNAcentral describes it as "bacterial SSU rRNA". It matches the Rfam family "Bacterial small subunit ribosomal RNA", at positions 355 to 794 of the family's 1533-position model. The record is from RNAcentral.
UCGAGGAUCUUUGGCAAUGGGCGAAAGCCUGACCAAGCGAUGCCGCGUGGAGGACGAAGGCCUUCGGGUUGUAAACUCCUGUCGAGGGGAGUCCUUAUAUCUGGAGGAAGCACGGGCUAAGUUCGUGCCAGCAGCCGCGGUAAGACGAACCGUGCGAACGUUGUUCGGAAUCACUGGGCUUAAAGGCGCGUAGGCGGCUUACCAAGUCAGGGUGAAAUUUUGCGGCUUAACCGUAACAGUGCCUUGUAUACUGGUAGGCUCGAGGGAGAUAGGGGUCUGCGGAACUUCUGGUGGAGCGGUGAAAUGCGUUGAUAUCAGAAGGAACGCCGGUGGCGAAAGCGGCGGACUGGAUCUCUUCUGACGCUGAGGCGCGAAAGCUAGGGGAGCAAACGGGAUUAGAUACCCGGGUAGU